GUGGAUUAGAUACCCUAGUAGUCCUAGCCGUAAACGAUGGGCACUAGGUGUGGGGGGUCAUCAACUCCCUCCGUGCCGCAGCUAACGCAUUAAGUGCCCCGCCUGGGGAGUACGGCCGCAAGGCUAAAACUCAAAGGAAUUGACGGGGGCCCGCACAAGCAGCGGAGCAUGUGGCUUAAUUCGAAGCAACGCGAAGAACCUUACCAGGGCUUGACAUGCAGAGUAAAACGGCGGAAACGUCGCGUCCGAGAGGGCUCUGCACAGGUGGUGCACGGCUGUCGUCAGCU
This 287-nucleotide ribosomal RNA is filed under the name uncultured bacterium. RNAcentral's name for it is "partial 16S ribosomal RNA". It matches the Rfam family "Bacterial small subunit ribosomal RNA", at positions 773 to 1060 of the family's 1533-position model. The record is from RNAcentral.